UCCCGAUGAGGUAACACUCCCAAAAUUGAUAGGAAGUGCCGUAUGACACUUUAAAACCAGCGGCGGA
RNAcentral lists this small nucleolar RNA (67 nucleotides) under Morus notabilis. Its description in RNAcentral is "Small nucleolar RNA U49". It matches the Rfam family "Small nucleolar RNA U49". Lineage: Eukaryota; Viridiplantae; Streptophyta; Magnoliopsida; Rosales; Moraceae. The record is from Rfam by way of RNAcentral.